GUCGUUAGACAGCGAGGCGGGGUGAGGAUUUCGAGAGCUGGACAAUUAGUAUUUGGGCCUACUUGAGCAGGCAAUAGCCCGACGCUAUCAUCCGUUAGGUUAUGGCUGAACGACUCCAAGUCAGAACUCGUGCUAGAAUGCGAC
RNAcentral lists this non-coding RNA (144 nucleotides) under Linnemannia elongata AG-77. Lineage: Eukaryota; Fungi; Mortierellomycota; Mortierellomycetes; Mortierellales; Mortierellaceae. The record is from Rfam by way of RNAcentral.